AAUUCAUGGUGCGGACAUUUUUGAAUCAACAUUUUGAAGCGUUCCCAUGCCUCAUAUUUCUCCCUCAAUCUUUCUAAAGACAGCAAUCUCUUGCCUUAGUU
This 101-nucleotide small nucleolar RNA is filed under the name Gossypium hirsutum (cotton). Its description in RNAcentral is "Plant small nucleolar RNA R71". It matches the Rfam family "Plant small nucleolar RNA R71". From Rfam's summary of the family: R71 is a member of the C/D box family of snoRNAs containing the C (UGAUGA) and D (CUGA) box motifs. Multiple nearly identical copies of this snoRNA have been identified in Arabidopsis, and it is thought to function as a 2'-O-ribose methylation guide for 18S ribosomal RNA. Lineage: Eukaryota; Viridiplantae; Streptophyta; Magnoliopsida; Malvales; Malvaceae. The record is from Rfam by way of RNAcentral.